Molecule: transfer RNA, 641 nt
Filed under: uncultured cyanobacterium
Lineage: Bacteria; Bacillati; Cyanobacteriota
Description: partial 16S-23S ribosomal RNA intergenic spacer
Rfam family: tRNA (bases 262-334)
Source: RNAcentral
CAGGGAGACAAAAAACGAUUAUGAUGUCUAGAUAUUUUUUCAAGACCGUAAUCCUGUCACCUUAGGUCGAUCGGUACCUCAGGUUGAAAGCUUCUUAAUCAUUGAUUUCUCAAUGCUUAUAUAGUUUUUGGUUUCAGUUCCUAAACUUGUCUAGGUCACACCCAACAAACUUUCUUCUGGGCUAUUAGCUCAGGUGGUUAGAGCGCACCCCUGAUAAGGGUGAGGUCCCUGGUUCAAGUCCAGGAUGGCCCAUUCGUUGUUGGGGGUAUAGCUCAGUUGGUAGAGCGCCUGCUUUGCAAGCAGGAUGUCAGCGGUUCGAGUCCGCUUACCUCCACUGAAACCUACCCUGGUAACUAAAUUUCCGGAGAAAAAUUGUUUAUGUGACUUAGAAUUGUCUAUCUGAAAAGUACCUAGCUUCUUAUCAUCUUUAUAUAGUUGAUAAUAUGCUGGGCUCGCAUGGAAACAUUCCAUGAGAAUUCAGUAGAACCUUGAAAACUGCAUAGAUUUAGAAAGAAUAAAGCAUCUCAUGGAUGCAUAAUUCUAGUUUAAUUAUUUAGUUUUAACUAAAUAAUUAAUACCUAGGAUUCAUGUUAAUUCUUGAGUAAUAGCCGAGCACAAAUUAUUUUUGUGUUUGUAUUUAA